This is a non-coding RNA of Henosepilachna vigintioctopunctata, 74 nucleotides long. The record is from the annotation of a GenBank genome assembly. NCBI's taxonomy places the organism in Eukaryota, Metazoa, Arthropoda, Insecta, Coleoptera, Coccinellidae.
GCCCUCCAUGGCUCAGCCGGGAAAACACCCGACUAUGGUGCGGUAAGAAAUGGGUUCGAGCCCCGGUGAAGGCA